GCGCUGGUGGUGCAAUGGUUCAGCACACGCUCCUCAAAAGAGUAAGAUCGGAGUUUGAGUCUCGGCUGACGCA
This is a non-coding RNA of Parelaphostrongylus tenuis, 73 nucleotides long. The record is from the annotation of a GenBank genome assembly. Lineage: Eukaryota; Metazoa; Nematoda; Chromadorea; Rhabditida; Metastrongylidae.